AAAGCUCGACUACAGAUACUUUAAAAAUAGUGUCCUUAUCUUUAAUGGGAUCUCAUGAUUAAGUCACACUUGAUACAUUUAACGGACUAGCUAUUCUAGGGACUUUAUUAAACAAACAUAAUAAAGAAAAAGCAUUUUAUUAUUAAUAAAUAAUUCGAUACAAGUACCAAAAGUAUUUGCCUCUAGGUCUUACACCAACACUAAGCAUAUUUAUCUAACAUGAACAAAAAUGAAAAAAAAUUAGCAAAAC
This 250-nucleotide long non-coding RNA is filed under the name Lathyrus oleraceus (garden pea). RNAcentral's name for it is "Pisum sativum (pea) long non-coding RNA (PSAT_LNC026183)". The record is from RNAcentral. Lineage: Eukaryota; Viridiplantae; Streptophyta; Magnoliopsida; Fabales; Fabaceae.